AACGAACGCUGGCGGCAUGCCUAAUACAUGCAAGUCGAACGAGAUCUUCGGAUCUAGUGGCGCACGGGUGCGUAACGCGUGGGAAUCUACCCUUGGGUUCGGAAUAACAGUUAGAAAUGACUGCUAAUACCGGAUGAUGACGUAAGUCCAAAGAUUUAUCGCCCAGGGAUGAGCCCGCGUAGGAUUAGCUAGUUGGUGAGGUAAAGGCUCGCCAAGGCUACGAUCCUUAGCUGGUCUGAGAGGAUGAUCAGCCACACUGGGACUGAGACACGGCCCAGACUCCUACGGGAGGCAGCAGUAGGGAAUAUUGGACAAUGGGCGAAAGCCUGAUCCAGCAAUGCCGCGUGAGCGAUGAAGGCCUUAGGGUUGUAAAGCUCUUUUACCCGGGAUGAUAAUGACAGUACCGGGAGAAUAAGCCCCGGCUAACUCCGUGCCAGCCGCCGCAGUAA
Molecule: ribosomal RNA, 449 nt
Filed under: uncultured bacterium
Lineage: Bacteria
Description: partial 16S ribosomal RNA
Rfam family: Bacterial small subunit ribosomal RNA
Source: RNAcentral